RNAcentral lists this ribosomal RNA (600 nucleotides) under uncultured bacterium. RNAcentral's name for it is "bacterial SSU rRNA". It matches the Rfam family "Bacterial small subunit ribosomal RNA", at positions 84 to 686 of the family's 1533-position model. The record is from RNAcentral.
GAUGCUGACGAGCGGCGGACGGGUGAGUAAUGCAUAGGAAUCUGCCCGAUAGUGGGGGAUAACCUGGGGAAACCCAGGCUAAUACCGCAUACGUCCUACGGGAGAAAGGGGGCUUCGGCUCCCGCUAUUGGAUGAGCCUAUGUCGGAUUAGCUAGUUGGUGAGGUAACGGCUCACCAAGGCAACGAUCCGUAGCUGGUCUGAGAGGAUGAUCAGCCACAUCGGGACUGAGACACGGCCCGAACUCCUACGGGAGGCAGCAGUGGGGAAUAUUGGACAAUGGGCGCAAGCCUGAUCCAGCCAUGCCGCGUGUGUGAAGAAGGCCCUCGGGUUGUAAAGCACUUUCAGCGAGGAAGAACGCCUAGCGGUUAAUACCCGCUAGGAAAGACAUCACUCGCAGAAGAAGCACCGGCUAACUCCGUGCCAGCAGCCGCGGUAAUACGGAGGGUGCAAGCGUUAAUCGGAAUUACUGGGCGUAAAGCGCGCGUAGGUGGCUUGAUAAGCCGGUUGUGAAAGCCCCGGGCUCAACCUGGGAACGGCAUCCGGAACUGUCAAGCUAGAGUGCAGGAGAGGAAGGUAGAAUUCCCGGUGUAGCGGUGAAA